Long non-coding RNA from Pseudopipra pipra, 229 nucleotides. RefSeq lists it as uncharacterized. NCBI's taxonomy places the organism in Eukaryota, Metazoa, Chordata, Aves, Passeriformes, Pipridae. The record is from RefSeq and is a predicted model, not a curated record. The transcript is spliced from 2 exons.
ACUGUAGGCGCUUCAACUAAUAGUGUGUGGGAGGAAUGUACAAGUAAACUUUUCUAGAUUUGUGCCUACUCCUUAGCUCAGUCACAUCUGUAUCUUCACUGAGCUUUCCCAGGAUAGUCUUCUGCAAAUGGGCCUUUUAACGAACAGCAUCGGGAAACCCUUCAACCUGCCUUUGAGAACUAUCCAGUGCUUAAGUUAACUUUACAAGCUAGGCAAACGUUUGCCUUUU